UAGUCGUGACUGAGAGGUCGAUCGACCACAUUGGGUCUGAAAAAACCCCAAUGCGUAUUAGUACAGCAGUGAGGAAUAUUGGUCAAUGGCCGAAAGGCUGAACCAGUAACUUGGAAGAAUGUAAGUGUAUUAUAGUAAUACAGUAACGAUUAACUCGUAUAAAAUUCUAAAUAGGAUAAUGAUAAUGACAAUUUCCUAUUUAUAAGUCUUGACCAAAUUACGUGCCAGCAGUCGCGGUAAUACGUAGAAGACUAGUGUUAGUCAUCUUUAUUAGGUUUAAAGGGUACCUAGACGGUAAAUUAAACUCUAAAUGAGUACUUUUUUACUAGAGUUUUAUGAGAGAAGGAAGAAUUUCUGGAGUAGUGAUGAAAUACUAUACCAGAAGGACUGGUAACGGCGAAGGCAUCCUUCUAUGUAAAAACUGACGUUGAGGGACGAAGGCUUGGGUAGCAAUAAGGAUUAGAUACCCUAGUAGUCCAAGCAGAAAAUGAUGAAUGUCAUAGGCUAGAUAAUAUUUAGUCUAUAAAUGAAAGUGUAAGCAUUCCACCUCAAGAGUAAUA
RNAcentral lists this ribosomal RNA (560 nucleotides) under Aspergillus fischeri. It matches the Rfam family "Bacterial small subunit ribosomal RNA", at positions 284 to 885 of the family's 1533-position model. Lineage: Eukaryota; Fungi; Ascomycota; Eurotiomycetes; Eurotiales; Aspergillaceae. The record is from RNAcentral.